Molecule: ribosomal RNA, 404 nt
Filed under: uncultured bacterium
Lineage: Bacteria
Description: bacterial SSU rRNA
Rfam family: Bacterial small subunit ribosomal RNA
Source: RNAcentral
UGGGGAAUAUUGCACAAUGGGGGAAACCCUGAUGCAGCGACGCCGCGUGAACGAUGAAGUAUUUCGGUAUGUAAAGUUCUAUCAGCAGGGAAGAUAAUGACGGUACCUGACUAAGAAGCACCGGCUAAAUACGUGCCAGCAGCCGCGGUAAUACGUAUGGUGCAAGCGUUAUCCGGAUUUACUGGGUGUAAAGGGUGCGUAGGUGGCAUGGCAAGUCUGAAGUGAAAUGCGGGGGCUCAACCCCUGAACUGCUUUGGAAACUGUCAGGCUAGAGUGCAGGAGAGGAAAGCGGAAUUCCUAGUGUAGCGGUGAAAUGCGUAGAUAUUAGGAGGAACACCAGUGGCGAAGGCGGCUUUCUGGACUGUAACUGACACUGAGGCACGAAAGCGUGGGGAGCAAACAGG